UACGUAGGUGGCGAGCGUUGUCCGGAUUUACUGGGCGUAAAGGGAGCGUAGGCGGACUUUUAAGUGAGAUGUGAAAUACUCGGGCUCAACUUGAGUGCUGCAUUUCAAACUGGAAGUCUUGAGUGCAGGAGAGGAGAGUGGAAUUCCUAGUGUAGCGGUGAAAUGCGUAGAUAUUAGGAGGAACACCAGUUGCGAAGGCGGCUCUCUGGACUGUAACUGACACUGAGGCACGAAAGCGUGGGGAGCAAACAGG
Molecule: ribosomal RNA, 253 nt
Filed under: uncultured bacterium
Lineage: Bacteria
Description: partial 16S ribosomal RNA
Rfam family: Bacterial small subunit ribosomal RNA
Source: RNAcentral